AACGAACGUUAGCGGCGCGCCUAACACAUGCAAGUCGAACGCGACAGGGGCAACUCUGUUGAGUGGCGCACGGGUGAGUAACACGUAGGUAAUCUCCCCCCGAGUGGUGGAUAACCUUCCGAAAGGAGGGCUAAUACAGCAUAAGACAACGGCUUCGAAAGGAGCUGAGGUCAAAGCGGAGGAUCGCAAGACUUCGCGCUUGGGGAUGAGCCUGCGGCCCAUCGGGUAGUUGGCGGGGUAACAGCCCACCAAGCCUAAGACUGGUAGCUGGUCUGAGAGGAUGAUGAGCCACGCUGGAACUGAGACACGGUCCAGAAUCCUACGGGAGGCAGAAGUGGAGAAUCUUGCGCAAGGGACGAAAGUCUGACGCAGCGACGCCGCGGGGGUGAUGAAGGCCUUCGGGUUGUAAAGCCCUGUGGGGAGGGACGAAUAAGUUUCAGCUAAUACCUGAAGCGAUGACGGUACCUCCUUAGCAAGCACCGGCUAACUCUGUGCCAGCCGCCGCAGUAA
This 510-nucleotide ribosomal RNA is filed under the name uncultured bacterium. Its description in RNAcentral is "partial 16S ribosomal RNA". It matches the Rfam family "Bacterial small subunit ribosomal RNA", at positions 29 to 523 of the family's 1533-position model. The record is from RNAcentral.